This is a long non-coding RNA of Brienomyrus brachyistius, 433 nucleotides long. RefSeq lists it as uncharacterized. Lineage: Eukaryota; Metazoa; Chordata; Actinopteri; Osteoglossiformes; Mormyridae. The transcript is spliced from 3 exons. The record is from RefSeq and is a predicted model, not a curated record.
GAAGGAGAGGAGGAAGUGGAGAAAAAGCAGGGUUACUGAACGAGGAAGAAAGGGUAGAUCGAUAAGGCAAUCAUUAGGACAGCGGUUGGAGAGGGGAGGAUAGAGCAGAGAGUCUGAAGAGACAGUACGUGAGAUGUCUGGGCAGUCUCCUCACCUUCCUGUCAGAUGGCAGCCUCCAGCCCGAGUCCUUCAGUCGCUGCAGGUCCUGGAACUUGACCCGCACGUCCUCGAUGGCCAGUUGCAGCAGGUCCCAGAAGGCGGCCAGGUCCUGAGAGAUGUCACAUGAAUCACCGAGGAAUCAACCGUUCCAGAGUGAAAGUUCAAGUAGAUGUACCAAAAUAAAACCAAAAUGGAAAGGAGAGAUGGUGAGGGAUCUGCGCUGAAGACCCUGGGUCACACUGCUAUGCUGGGAUAUAGUAGACUAAGAUUUGCU